Molecule: ribosomal RNA, 230 nt
Filed under: uncultured bacterium
Lineage: Bacteria
Description: partial 16S ribosomal RNA
Rfam family: Bacterial small subunit ribosomal RNA
Source: RNAcentral
GGGUGAGUAACACGUAUCCAACCUGCCGUCUACUCUUGGACAGCCUUCUGAAAGGAAGAUUAAUACAAGAUGGCAUCAUGAGUCCGCAUGUUCACAUGAUUAAAGGUAUUCCGGUAGACGAUGGGGAUGCGUUCCAUUAGAUAGUAGGCGGGGUAACGGCCCACCUAGUCUUCGAUGGAUAGGGGUUCUGAGAGGAAGGUCCCCCACAUUGGAACUGAGACACGGUCCAA